UCAAAAACAAGUAGGGAAAUUA
This 22-nucleotide non-coding RNA is filed under the name Drosophila melanogaster (fruit fly). Lineage: Eukaryota; Metazoa; Arthropoda; Insecta; Diptera; Drosophilidae. The record is from RNAcentral.